GGGAAAAGUGGGAAUGUGUGGAAAAUCAGGGAAAACAGCCAAGGGAAAGGGCGGAUUAAACCCAGCUCUACUCAGGGCUAAAGUCUGGCUUAGCCCAGAAAAUUCCGGUUUUACUUGAAUUAAAUCUCAGAGAAUUCCAGCUUUUUAUUCCCGUCAUCUUCUCUUUCAAAGGUCGGGAAAAAUCCUGGAAUUUUCUUCCCAGGCUCUGCCGUCUCCUUCCUGCUCUUCUGUAAAACCUUCCAUAAAAUCCCAUAAAAUGCUGGAAUUCCUGAGGGUGCUGGAAUUCCCUCUCGUCACAGGUGUCCGUCACUGCCUCUGGAAUUCGCCUCUGGAAUUUGCCUCUGGAAUUCGCCUCUGGAAUUUGCCUCUGGAAUCUCCCAGCAAAGGCUGUGCCAGGCAGAGGUGCAGUUUCCAUGGGAUUCCCAUCCCGCUUUUCCAGGUAGGAUUGGGAUUUCAUUCCUGCCAGUGCCAGAGUGAAGGGAAACUCAGGGGAAAGGGAAAAUCAUGGAGAUUGACAAGGGAUGGGAUGAGGGAUGAGCAUCCCAUGUUUGUCAUUCCAACAUGGAUCACUCAUCCAUUCGGAGCUCCUGGCUCCAAGAUUUUGGGAUGGGAUCAUCAGGGAAAUCCCAGAAUCCCUGCAAAUCCAGGGGAUAUUGGACCUGAAUUCCCACUGUGGAUUCCAGAGAGCACUCAGGGAAUUCCAGAUUCCCUCUGGCACAGCUGGAUCCUGGUGGAAAAGCUGCCAGGACAAAAAAUCCCCGAAAUUCCCAUAAAUCCCGAAUUCCCAAUCCCAGUAAGGGCCGAACAGAAUCAACUUUCGUCCUCGGCUCCUCAGAUCCUUCGGGAUAAUAAAACCUCUGGAAAAUUGGAGCGGAUCCUGGCGGUCAGCUACAAACAGGGGUGGGGGUGGGAACGGGCUUGGGAGGUUUUUAGGGAAAAGCCGAAGGAAAACGAAGCGUUUAACGACGGAAAACGAAACCUCCGCCCUGGGACGCGCAAAUCCGGAGCCGAUUCCUCCGCUCCGGCUUUUGGGAAAGGGCCAUGGAUCAGCCAGAGCUCAGCAGCAGGGAUGGGUUAGAAAUCCCUAGAAAUCCCUAGAAAUCCCAAAGUUGUGACUUUUCCAUGUGGAAAACACGGAGAAGGAGCUGCUCUGUGCGAUCCAGGAGCUGACCCAAUGAGAAUCCCGGGAUUUCAUCCCCCAUGGAUUGCAUCCUAAUCUGACAAAGCGUUUCAUAUGUUUUUUUCCCUGUUUUUUUAAGCACGGGAUAAAAUCCCAGCCGGAACGGGGCAGGAGCUGCCGUCAGAGGUUUGUCCCAGGAAAUUGAUCCCUCGGGAUCACUUUUCCCAGCUCCUCGCUCGUUUGGAGCAGCCACAGCUCCAAGGAGAACGUGGAAUCAAGGAAAAGUCUCAUCCAGCUGAAGGGAGGAUGGGAAGAUCCCGAAUCACCUGGAUAUUAACAGGAUUUUCCUGGUGGAAAAAUGGGAGAUGAUUCCUUGUGGGAUGAGGAUUUGAGGAAUAACAUCCUCCCAGCACUGGGAAACUCCAUGGAAUAAUGGUUCCAUGGAACAAAAAUUCCAUGGAAUUGUGGAACCAUCCAGGGUGGGAAAGACCUCUGAGCUCGAAUCCAACCUUGCCAAGGUCACGAAUUCCCAAAUGCCAAAUCCCAUGGGAUCAUCCCGCUCCAGGAAUGGGAGGAGGGAACAAAGCGGGAAUGUCCCAGCAUUCCCAUCGGAUCCGGGAAGGCUGAGAAGGUCGUGGAUCAUGGAUUUGUUUGGAAAACAAAUCCCAUCCCGGGACAGGUUUUGCGCUCCAUUAACACCUGGUGGCGGUGAGCGUGGGUUGGGAUGUUUUCCAUAAAAAUCUUUGGGAAUAUAAGGGAAAAUGAGGGAUUUUAAAGGAAUAUCAGUGAGGCUCAGCCUGGGGAAAAGGAGGAUCCAGAGGGAGCUUCCAGCUCUCCAUAACUCCCUGAAAGUUUGGAGCCAGGUGGGAGUUGGGAUUUGAUCCCAGGGAAUAACAGGAAAAGAGGGAACAGCCUCAGGUUCUCCCAGGAGAGGCUCAGGCUGGACAGCAGCAGGAAU
This 2078-nucleotide long non-coding RNA is filed under the name Parus major (Great Tit). RNAcentral's name for it is "lncRNA (ENSPMJG00000018670.1)". Lineage: Eukaryota; Metazoa; Chordata; Aves; Passeriformes; Paridae. The record is from RNAcentral.